Telopea speciosissima is the source of this 138-nucleotide long non-coding RNA. RefSeq lists it as uncharacterized. The transcript has 3 exons. Lineage: Eukaryota; Viridiplantae; Streptophyta; Magnoliopsida; Proteales; Proteaceae. The record is from RefSeq and is a predicted model, not a curated record.
AUGGUAUGAAAUGUUUAUUAUUAUGUGUGGACCUAAGGUAUUAUUUCCUUAAUGGGGAAGAAACCCUAGUUUCUUUCCAAGGUUGGUCCAUACCCUCACCACUAUAAAUAGUUGUCACUGGCCCAUUAAGUGACUAAC